RNAcentral lists this ribosomal RNA (1016 nucleotides) under uncultured bacterium. RNAcentral describes it as "bacterial SSU rRNA". It matches the Rfam family "Bacterial small subunit ribosomal RNA", at positions 357 to 1376 of the family's 1533-position model. The record is from RNAcentral.
AGGAAUAUUGGUCAAUGGGCGAGAGCCUGAACCAGCCAAGUAGCGUGAAGGAUGACUGCCCUAUGGGUUGUAAACUUCUUUUAUAAAGGAAUAAAGUCGGGUAUGCAUACCCGUUUGCAUGUACUUUAUGAAUAAGGAUCGGCUAACUCCGUGCCAGCAGCCGCGGUAAUACGGAGGAUCCGAGUGUUAUCCGGAUUUAUUGGGUUUAAAGGGAGCGUAGAUGGAUGUUUAAGUCAGUUGUGAAAGUUUGCGGCUCAACCGUAAAAUUGCAGUUGAUACUGGAUAUCUUGAGUGCAGUUGAGGCAGGCGGAAUUCGUGGUGUAGCGGUGAAAUGCUUAGAUAUCACGAAGAACUCCGAUUGCGAAGGCAGCCUGCUAAGCUGCAACUGACAUUGAGGCUCGAAAGUGUGGGUAUCAAACAGGAUUAGAUACCCUGGUAGUCCACACGGUAAACGAUGAAUACUCGCUGUUUGCGAUAUACAGCAAGCGGCCAAGCGAAAGCGUUAAGUAUUCCACCUGGGGAGUACGCCGGCAACGGUGAAACUCAAAGGAAUUGACGGGGGCCCGCACAAGCGGAGGAACAUGUGGUUUAAUUCGAUGAUACGCGAGGAACCUUACCCGGGCUUAAAUUGCAGAUGAAUUACGGUGAAAGCCGUAAGCCGCAAGGCAUCUGUGAAGGUGCUGCAUGGUUGUCGUCAGCUCGUGCCGUGAGGUGUCGGCUUAAGUGCCAUAACGAGCGCAACCCUUGUUGUCAGUUACUAACAGGUUCUGCUGAGGACUCUGACAAGACUGCCAUCGUAAGAUGUGAGGAAGGUGGGGAUGACGUCAAAUCAGCACGGCCCUUACGUCCGGGGCUACACACGUGUUACAAUGGGGGGUACAGAGGGCCGCUACCACGCGAGUGGAUGCCAAUCCCCAAAACCUCUCUCAGUUCGGACUGGAGUCUGCAACCCGACUCCACGAAGCUGGAUUCGCUAGUAAUCGCGCAUCAGUCACGGCGCGGUGAAUACGUUCCCG